Molecule: long non-coding RNA, 995 nt
Organism: Ficedula albicollis (Collared flycatcher)
Lineage: Eukaryota; Metazoa; Chordata; Aves; Passeriformes; Muscicapidae
Exons: 6
Source: RefSeq, a predicted model, not a curated record
UGCAGCGCGGCAGGAGCCGCUCGGCCGGGGCUGGGCACGGUUCUGCUCGGGCUGCUUCUCCAACACCUGCCAGAUCACAAAAUAUAUUGGAAUCAAGAGAGUUUCUAAAACCUGACUCUCAAGUACACUGCCUGUAGGACAAUUGAACUCACAACCUUGGCAUUACCAGGACUCUGCUCCAACUGACUGAGCCAGCCUCUGGGUCACAGGGAGAAAUGAGUAGGACAAGCCCUGAGGCUUCCCUUGCUGCGUGACCAAAGUUCUUCUGGAGAGUGGCGGCUGGAAGUGCAGAAGAGAUGGAAAGCUUUCCCAGGUGCUGGACUUGCCUCUGUAGAUGUGUGCUGAGCUCUUGCUGCAGGGGACUGUCAGGCCUGACUGGCUUGACAAGAACAUGAACUCACAGCCAUUCAGGCCUGACAGUCACUGAGGGAAAUCUGACCUCGUAUUAAUAAGGAACCUUUCCUGGGGGCAGCCAUCACCCCAGUCCUCCAGCCUUGCACCUCUCUCUCCAGCACAAAUCCCACUGGUCACAGACGCGGACGGAGCAGACCUAAGGCAAUGGUUCCAGCAGCAGCUGCAAUUCUGUUCAAGUUCCCUGCAAUGCUCACCCGAGCGCUCGUGGCAAUCUCGCCUCAGCCCAGACUCUGACCUCAGAGGGAAACGCAGCCUGAUGGGACACGGCUCUGGCACCCCAUUUCUGUUGUAUUUCACUGCUGUGGCACUGAGAAUGGUUUCUCCCUGAACUCCCCUGUAGCCUGCCUCACCGUUUAAGCCUUUCCCCUUCCCCUCCCCUCUAAGCUGAGUGGCUGGGGUCUGGGUUCCCUCUGCCCCUAGCAGGAGAUUUAAAAUACCCCAGACAGCCAGUCCAACUUUCUCUUUUCCCCUGGAAGCCUUCUGAAAUAAACCUUGGAACCCCUUCGGGGGGGAAGGAGCCUCUUUUGGUCUUUUAUCUCAUUCCUGCAGGGCUCUGGGCUUCUUCUUAGCACUGAGCUAGC